Molecule: ribosomal RNA, 253 nt
Filed under: uncultured bacterium
Lineage: Bacteria
Description: partial 16S ribosomal RNA
Rfam family: Bacterial small subunit ribosomal RNA
Source: RNAcentral
UACGUAGGGGGCAAGCGUUAUCCGGAUUUACUGGGUGUAAAGGGAGCGUAGACGGCAGAGCAAGUCUGAAGUGAAAGCCCGCGGCCCAACUGCGGGACUGCUUUGGAAACUGCCCGGCUAGAGUGCUGGAGAGGUAAGCGGAAUUCCUAGUGUAGCGGUGAAAUGCGUAGAUAUUAGGAGGAACACCAGUGGCGAAGGCGGCUUACUGGACGGCAACUGACGCUGAGGCUCGAAAGCGUGGGGAGCAAACAGG